RNAcentral lists this unclassified non-coding RNA (217 nucleotides) under Hevea brasiliensis (rubber tree). Lineage: Eukaryota; Viridiplantae; Streptophyta; Magnoliopsida; Malpighiales; Euphorbiaceae. The record is from RNAcentral.
AAAAAACCGCACCGCAACUUGUCCAGACCGCACUGCAUCAUAUUGCAUCCAAGUUCUACGGACAGCCAUUCUACGCUUAAAAUUAUUUGCUGUAGAAAAUACACCAAUAAAGAGAUCUAGUCUUUUUCGUGGAGGAAGAGGAGCUGCUUUUAAGGCUUCCAAGUCGCUUAUAUGCUCUGAAUCCUCUGAUGUUGGUAAACCACUUGCGACAACAGAA